This 225-nucleotide long non-coding RNA is filed under the name Vicia faba (fava bean). The record is from RNAcentral. Lineage: Eukaryota; Viridiplantae; Streptophyta; Magnoliopsida; Fabales; Fabaceae.
AUGUCUGACAUUGCUAUGUUAGUUGCUGAGGAGUAUGAGAGAAGGGUCAAGAGUUUAAAAACCACCGCAAAUGGUGGUGCUGUAAAAACAUGGGAGAUUGACAUGUCUUGUUUUUCAAUAUUGGUUUCCAAGUUGAAGGAGGAGAAGAAGCAACUUGUUCAGUGUGUGUUGGAGCCUAAAACACAGUUUGCUGUUGCUGCUUCUAACAGCUUCUUUUCUGCUUGA